Molecule: long non-coding RNA, 3197 nt
Organism: Cyprinus carpio carpio
Lineage: Eukaryota; Metazoa; Chordata; Actinopteri; Cypriniformes; Cyprinidae
Source: Ensembl
GGGAAAAUGGCACGUUUGGUCACCCUAAUAAUAAUGUGAAGGACAAAUGCAAUGAAUGCAUCAAAUGCAACAUGCAGCUUCUGCUCAGGUGGAGAAAGGAUAGGCUAACUAAGCUAAGUUACACGUUGCAGCAGAGAAAAAAAAAUCACCAAACUUGUAGCAAAACUAAUUUGGAUAUUAAUUAUUCAAGUCAAGUCUACACUAUUCUCGCUAAAUUCACGCUGAUUGUUGUGUCUCAGUGUACGUGACUUUCGAAACGUCUGCUUUAAAACUACAUUUCCCAUAAUAACUCUCGGCGUGACUAACAUUACCCAUAAGGCUGUUGGCCCUCUAUCUCCAGCCAGGAAGGUCAUUGAGAAUCAGACUCAGGUUGAGUAGAUCUCAAACUUCAGCAGUAACUAUGCUCGGACAAGCCGUGCGACGCUUCGCCACCUCUGCGGUUCGCUCCAGUCACUAUGCGGAGGGACCAGGAAAGAACUUGCCAUUCUCUGUAGAGAACAAGUGGAGGCUUCUUGGCAUGAUGGUGCUGUUCUUUGGCAGUGGAUUCGCCUUCCCAUUCAUUGUUGUCAGGCAUCAGAUCCUGAAGAAGUGAAGCUCCUUCCAGCCACACAUUGUCAGUGUGAUUCUUGUGCAACACAGCUCUCAGUUUCUUCUGGUGUGGAUCCUGUAAUGUUAUUGUAAAUAAAAUGACCAAUGACAUUGCUAUGUUUUUUCUCAUUCUUUAUUUCAUGCUUUCCUGAAACUUAAAGCAUAGGCUAAAAUUAUGUAAAUGAAAUGAUUCUCCAGUUACACUAUUUUAAAGAGUCCUUGUUGAGUAAUAUUAAUUGACUACAUGUAAACUAUAUGGUUGGGUUUAGAAUUAGGGUUUGUUUUAGGGUUACUUGAAUUUAAUUGUGCAUAAUUGUUAUAAUAAUGGUAAGGACAUGUAACAUGCAACAAGGACACCUUAAAAUAAUGUUACAGAUUCUCCUCAUAAAUCUAUACUUGGAUUGAAUCUUUCCAGAGCCUGUUACAUUUUAUUUAUCCAUUGAACAAAACUUACGUAAAUUGAUUAAAUUCACUUGUAUGAUAAAAUGUUUACUUAAACACUGAUAUGAUGUUUACUAUAAAGUGUUUACUUAAAGCGAUAGUUUACCUAAAAAAGAAAAUUGUUCAUGUAUUCACCCUCACACUUUUUAAACCUUUAUGAGUUUCAGCUGACUUCCAUAGUAUAGUAGUGAACUAUCCCUUUAAAUAAGGGCUGCACGAUAAAUCGAAAUGGAAUCGAAAUCACAAUUAGACAGAAUCUGCGGUCGUCAUGCAUAUCUUUCAGUGGCUACAAUUACAUGCACAAUUUUUGGUUCAGUUGGACAAUUAAUUACGAUUGAUGAAUCUGAUUCUAGUGUUUACAUGAGCGCUAAAUAAAGUGAUCGGGUUGAUGUGUGCGGUUAUAAAUCUGGAAGGUUUUUUUUUUUAUUUUUGACAUGCGCACACUGCUCAAAUAGUGUAAGUGACAGAUAAUAUCGAGAUUCUCACUGUUUGCUCAUAACCACUCUCCUGCAUGGUUUCUUUAUUUGUUUUUAACAGCAGAAUUAAUAUUUACCAGUUUAUGGAUAAAUAUAGCCUACAUAUAAACCGCUGUGCUGCUCAUAUUUAUCACACACACACAAAAAAAGCCCCUCCCCUCGCCCAAAACGGGUUGCCUGUGGAUGAGUAUCCAAGACAAGGUUGUCCUGCUUCACUUAACAGUUGCCGAGUGAAAGGAGAGUUUUAUAAUGACAGGACACGAAUUUAUACAACACUUUAUUCAAAAGGAAGAGCCGCUCGUUCUGUGCUUUAAAUGUCAUUACGUUAUUUCUGCGUCAUUGCACAGGUGCAGUUAUUUCAAUUUCGUGGUUCAAUCCGAUCGAGUGUACGCUCAAUCGUAUUAGAAGAGAAAUAAACCAUCCCCUUCAAUCUGACCGAAAUUUCACUCAGAUCGAGCUCAAUCGGAACGAUUAAGGUGUUUAUAUGAAAGAUUUUCAAUCCGAUUGAUCCGUCAAUCCGAUUACAGACGGAUUAUUUGGGUGCAUGAAAACGUAGCCAUUGAAGCACGGUUCUGUGAUCAGCAGUAAAUCUCCAUCCGAAGGCCAGAGGGCGCUCUCACGCUGAAACUCCAAACGCUUUGCAGAAGAAACCCAGGAAAUGCCUUACAGUGGUAGCUGGAUAAACAGAAGAUUUAACUUCUUUAUUGAUUCUAUGUGACUAAUAAACACAUGAUUAUAACAAUAUAUGGUUUAUCUGAGUUAUUAUUGUAUUUUUUAUUGAAAUAAAGUAUAUUUAUAAUGCAAUGCCUUUAUCUCUGCUUCGAAUCCUAUGAAAUAUGUUGUGUGCCGUAUACUGUGUAAGAAAGCCAUAUCAACUCACAAAAGGACUUAUUUCAAACACUCAACUGAUGUUAUGGAGUAAAAACAUGUUAUUAAAUGUGGUAUUUUUGCAUGCUUUCAGGUGGAGCAGCAUUUACUACACAGAGCCGUAGUUCACUGAGAAGCUACGCAAACAGCUGUCAUUAUCACGAACGAUAUCUUCAAUUUCAUAAUCGCUCAAUAAUAUUGUCUGCUAAGGUUUUUUUUUUGUGUGUGUGUGUGUGUGUGUGUGUGUCUGUGAACUAUGGCUCUGUGUAGUAAAUGCUGCUCCAUCUGAAAGCAUGUGAUGAUGAUUUACUGCUGAUUACAGAACCAGUGUCCUGACAUUUUAUCCUACCCGUCAAUUUUCCUACCAGGGUCUACUGCGCAUGCACACAUCAACAUUGCGUCAAUCCUUUUUCUCAUGCUUAACAAUAUUUAAUGUAUCUGCAUUAUUGUAAGGGUAGGUUUAGGGUUUGGGAAGGUGUAGGCUUUAAUAAAAACACAAUCUAAUAGGUAGAAAAAAAUAUUGUUGGUUUCCUGUAGAUGUAUCCCUUCUAGCUACAACCACAAAUAUAACACAUAAUUACUUUAUUUGCAUUACUGUAAGGGAAGAUUUAGGGUUGUGGUAGGUGUAGACAUUAAUAAACCAUAACUUUACAGUAGCAUUUUUACAAUUCACUGUUUUAAUAGAGGAAGCAAAAUCUGACAGGUAGGACAAAUCGACAGAACACCGGCUUUACUAACAAAACGCGCAUGACAAUCAAAUUCAAUUAAUCGUGCAACCCUACAUAGGCUAUUAUAGAAAUAUAAUAACAUGAAAAGGCUGUAAAA